RNAcentral lists this ribosomal RNA (357 nucleotides) under Triticum aestivum (bread wheat). RNAcentral's name for it is "partial small subunit ribosomal RNA". Lineage: Eukaryota; Viridiplantae; Streptophyta; Magnoliopsida; Poales; Poaceae. The record is from RNAcentral.
AUGCCUUCUUCUUUGCCUCCUGUUGUCGCUAACCUUUUGCAGGAGUAUCAUGAUGUUUUCCCAAAGGAAGUACCACCAGGGCUGCCACCUAUGAGAGGAAUUGAACAUCAAAUUGACUUGAUAACUUGCGCCUCAUUACCCAACCGUGCGCCGUACCGGACUAAUCCAGAGGAGACCAAGGAGAUUCAGCGACAAGUUCAAGAACUACUUGACAAAGGUUACAUUAGUGAAUCCCAUAGUCCAUGUGCUGUACCAAUUUUACUUGUUCCAAAAAAGACGGUACUUCGCGUAUGUGUGUUGACUGUAGAGCCAUCAAUAAUAUUACAAUUCGAUAUCGUCAUCCUAUUCCUAGAUUAG